Molecule: long non-coding RNA, 479 nt
Filed under: Sarcophilus harrisii (Tasmanian devil)
Lineage: Eukaryota; Metazoa; Chordata; Mammalia; Dasyuromorphia; Dasyuridae
Description: lncRNA (ENSSHAG00000028434.1)
Source: RNAcentral
UUCAAACUAGACAAUUACUAAGAUGCCUGGAGAGACUUCCAUGAACGGAUGCUAAGUGAAGUGAGCAAAACCAGGAGAUCAUUUUGCACAGCAAUGACAAGAUUAUGUGAUGAUCAGUUCUGAUGGACCUGUUGAUUCAAGCCAGUUCCAGUGGUUUUGUGAUGAGAACCAUCUACACCCAGAGAGAGGACUGUGAGAAUUGGGUCACAAAAUUUCAAUCUGCAACAAAGGUCAUUGAGGCAGAGCUCUGAGGAUGAUCAAUCAGUUUAUUAGAAAAAAAUGGUAGUCUCUAAGCAGUUGGAUCCAAGACCUUCCUCAUGGUCAAAAACCUGGAUGCUCUGGGACUGGAGAUUUUAUAGACUUUGGGGAUUCCCUGGAAGGCCUUCUAUUUCUUGACUUGUGAUGGACAAUGCCAUCUAUAUCCAGAUAAGGAACUAUGGAGUCUACAUGCAGAUGGAAGGUUAAUAUUUUUCCUUUUU